Molecule: non-coding RNA, 23 nt
Filed under: Arabidopsis thaliana (thale cress)
Lineage: Eukaryota; Viridiplantae; Streptophyta; Magnoliopsida; Brassicales; Brassicaceae
Source: RNAcentral
AGCUACUUCAAUAGGUGUUGGUA